AUAGGACACAGCAUUUUAAACUAGAAAUAGUUAGAAGUAAAUACCUAAAACCUAAUAGGACACAGCAUUUUAAACUAGAAAUAGUUAGAAGUAAAUACCUAAAACCUAAUAGGACACAGCAUUUUAAACUAGAAAUAGUUAGAAGUAAAUACCUAAAACCUAAUAGGACACAGCAUUUUAAACUAGAAAUAGUUAGAAGUAAAUACCUAAAACCUAAUAGGACACAGCAUUUUAAACUAGAAAUAGUUAGAAGUAAAUACCUAAAACCUAAUAGGACACAGCAUUUUAAACUAGAAAUAGUUAGAAGUAAAUACCUAAAACCUAAUAGGACACAGCAUUUUAAACUAGAAAUAGUUAGAAGUAAAUACCUAAAACCUAAUAGGACACAGCAUUUUAAACUAGAAAUAGUUAGAAGUAAAUACCUAAAACCUAAUAGGACACAGCAUUUUAAACUAGAAAUAGUUAGAAGUAAAUACCUAAAACCUAAUAGGACACAGCAUUUUAAACUAGAAAUAGUUAGAAGUAAAUACCUAAAACCUAAUAGGACACAGCAUUUUAAACUAGAAAUAGUUAGAAGUAAAUACCUAAAACCUAAUAGGACACAGCAUUUUAAACUAGAAAUAGUUAGAAGUAAAUACCUAAAACCUAAUAGGACACAGCAUUUUAAACUAGAAAUAGUUAGAAGUAAAUACCUAAAACCUAAUAGGACACAGCAUUUUAAACUAGAAAUAGUUAGAAGUAAAUACCUAAAACCUCGUUCAAAAAUAUUGUUUUUCAAACUUUUUGUUGCUAUGAAUGGUAAAUGUUCAUUAUAAGUUUUAAGUCGAACAUAAGAAAAUAUUUGGCUUCUAAAUAUAAGGAAUUCAUAUGUAGAAACAAGAACUAUCUAUUCCGCUGGCAUGUGCGCGCGUAAAUGAUGCCCAGUCCUACAGUGAUAACCAGAAAACUGGAGAAUAGGAAGACGACAUUAUACAUUUGAUGUUGUCACAAAGCACAAAGCUUUUCUAGUAAGUUAUCAAAUCUCCUAUUAAGUGGAUGGGUCUGUUAACACUGCACAUUUUUUAUGCCUCAUGUUCAUUGGACUAAAAGUCAUAACUUGUGUCUAAAAGUCGUCUUCAUAUUCCAGAGUUGUCUGGUUCUCACUUUAACUACCACAAUAAUGUUUAGGUUGAUAUUUCCUGGUUUGUUAUAAUCUCCUGCAUAGUUGCAGUCUCAGGUUUUAUUGUCAAUUCAGCUGUUGUGGCAGUCGUAAUCAAGAAGCAACGGACCUUGAUUAACCUUUUAAUUGUCUGGAGUUGUUUGGCAGCUGGGGGUCAACUCUCGAUGGUCCUAUUACAGUUGCUGCUUGAACACUGGAAAACAGCAUUUUACCACGAGAUGUGUGUUGGAUUCUCAUCAGCUGUCAUGUUCAUCACCAGUCUUAACAGACUCCUUCCAGUUGGUAUUGUGGGCUUUAGGUAUGUGUAUGUGCUUCAUAGCAGUUGGAUUAUGAACAAAAGGAACAAACAAAUUCUACAUUGGGGCAUCUUAGGUAAGUUAUGACAAAUUGAUAUUCAGCAAUUUCAACAUUUCUAUCUUUUUCUAUAAUUUCUAUCACAUUUCAGGUUUCAUCACACUAAUGCCAACAGGAAAAAUAUCAAAUUCUUCUCAAUAUCAAACCAAAUAAUACUUAAGAAAUUUUGCAAAAACAAUACUAAGUUUACAUUUGGUAAAGUUUUACCAUUUUAUCUGUCAAUUUGUAAAAAGGUUGGACUGGUAAAAGGAAAAGUUUGAAACCAUCAAGGGUGUAAAGUAAGAUUAGAUACUCUGGCUGCGCUCCAAUGUAAUAGAAAUGUUGUCUUCAUAGCAAUGGAUCCUUAAAAUCCUAGAUGUCACUGAUUAUUGAUUGAUUAUUAUUGAUUUUCAGCUGUAAAAAGUAAAGACAAUUCUUCCCCUCUCCACUCACCAGCAAUGUUGUCACUGCAUCUUCUGCCAAUAAUCAGUUACAUCCUAUGAUGUUUUUAAGUCUCCAUUGCUCUGAAGAACACAUUUAUAGUACAUUAGAGGGCAUCCAGAGUAUCUAACAUUACUUUAUACAACCUUGGUACCAUACAAUUACAGAUGAACGAACUUUUAGAAUAAUCAAUUGCAAAGCUUUUCUUAACUUGUUUUGAAAACUUUUUUAUCAAGAAAUGACUCUGUAGUUCCCAAUUUUUCUGUUUGAUUGAUUUAAAUUUUCAAAACCAAGUUAUUGGAGUAAAUACAAUUAUCUUCCACAACAAGGCCAUCUUCUACCAGGCAUGUCUAUCACCCAGGGCAAGAGCAGAGUGGCAGGGAACCGGAGACUGGGAUCUUCCACUUCUCCACCCUCUUCAUCUCUUCCUCAUAUUCAUCUACAUUGCCUUCAUCAUACUCGUCCCCUUAGGAUAUUUGGGUAUAUACGUGUUUCUAAAAAGACACACCAGUAGACUGCAGGGCAUAUCAAAAACAGAGCGGAGCCAAAGACUAAGGAAGAAUGUCGUGACUUUUUGGUUCAACCUGAUGAUUUGGACCCUUGAGGCUACAGCAAUGAUCUUGGUGAUAGUGAGCAGAGGGGUUUUCAUAGAACGUAACACACACCAGAAUCAGGAUAAAGUCAUGGUAUUGGUUUAUCACUUUGUAACAUCAGUUGUAUCCCCAGCUCUCUACUUUAAAGGUAU
Molecule: long non-coding RNA, 2678 nt
Organism: Eurytemora carolleeae
Lineage: Eukaryota; Metazoa; Arthropoda; Copepoda; Calanoida; Temoridae
Exons: 10
Source: RefSeq, a predicted model, not a curated record